Molecule: ribosomal RNA, 159 nt
Filed under: Scorzonera zorkunensis
Lineage: Eukaryota; Viridiplantae; Streptophyta; Magnoliopsida; Asterales; Asteraceae
Description: 5.8S ribosomal RNA
Source: RNAcentral
AAACGGAAUUGGGUAGGGGGCAACUUGGGUUCAAAAACGAGGAGGAACACAGGAAUAUGCAAUACACACCAAGAAUUGCAGAAUGCUAUGUUCCUUAGAGAUGUUUGAGCCAAGAUGUGCGUGAAGCCGAGUCGUUUGGGACUCCCAGAGGUCGGGAUC